UGGGGAAUCUUGCACAAUGGGCGAAAGCCUGAUGCAGCGACGCCGCGUGAAGGAUGAAGGCCUUCGGGUUGUAAACUUCUUUUGCAGGGGAAGAUAAUGACGGUACCCUGCGAAUAAGCCACGGCUAACUCUGUG
Molecule: ribosomal RNA, 135 nt
Filed under: uncultured bacterium
Lineage: Bacteria
Description: partial 16S ribosomal RNA
Rfam family: Bacterial small subunit ribosomal RNA
Source: RNAcentral